GUGUGAGAAUACUGAAGGCUGAGAAAGAGCAAAACUGCUGAACUGAGCUCAUGCUCAAACACUUUGUGUCACUCUGAUAAACACUCCUGUCCUCUCAGCAGCUACUCUGCUCCCCUCUCCAGUGUGCUGGGAGACAGCAGCCUGGCAGCAAUGGCCCUACCCUUCUGUGCAGGGCACAAUCACAUCUGAAGAGAUUCCCCAGCACUGGUGAGGCAGCAGAGCCUGGGAUCCUGUUACUCUCACUCCCCUCUUCUGCUGCCAAUUCCUGUGGAGUGGGGGCACCCCAAUUCCUGCAGGGCAGCCACAGCACCCAGCAGGAGUGGGAUCCCCUGCAGGUACCCUUAAUGCACCAGGACACGCCUGCCCUGGUGUGUGAGUACCUGUGGGGAGCAGAAAGCCACAGAACAAACUGGGAUCCUCUCAGGUGAAACUAAACCUGAUGUUCUCCUCCUUCCAGCACAGCCCUGAGCUGAGUUACAGUACUUACAGCUUCCCUGAAACACCCACAGUGCAGCCUUUGGGCCUUCAGCACCACAUGCUCUGCUUUUCAGGCCUGCUCUGACUUUCAUCUGUGCAGGCUUUGUCCUGUGGGCCCAGGGACAGCAAAGGACAAACGCAGCAAGUGAUAUGGAACUUGUUCAGUGUAAUAAAAGAGUCAUGGGAAAAGCAGAGGCAGAGGAAACAAAGCAAAGAAGUUAUAAUUCAGCAUGCUGCUCAAGUUGUUGGGAGAAAAUUUGCGGAGACAAAAGGCAACACUGAACAAUGGCAAAAUUAACUUUGCAGUAACCAAAGCUGGAAUCCAACUCGACUUCAGAUAAA
Non-coding RNA from Cyanistes caeruleus (blue tit), 819 nucleotides. The record is from RefSeq and is a predicted model, not a curated record. Lineage: Eukaryota; Metazoa; Chordata; Aves; Passeriformes; Paridae.